Molecule: ribosomal RNA, 492 nt
Filed under: uncultured bacterium
Lineage: Bacteria
Description: partial 16S ribosomal RNA
Rfam family: Bacterial small subunit ribosomal RNA
Source: RNAcentral
AGUGAACGCUGGCGGUAGGCCUAACACAUGCAAGUCGAGCGGCAGCACAGUAAGAGCUUGCUCUUACGGGUGGCGAGUGGCGGACGGGUGAGGAAUACAUCGGAAUCUACUUUUUCGUGGGGGAUAACGUAGGGAAACUUACGCUAAUACCGCAUACGACCUACGGGUGAAAGCAGGGGAUCUUCGGACCUUGCGCGAUUGAAUGAGCCGAUGUCGGAUUAGCUAGUUGGCGGGGUAAAGGCCCACCAAGGCGACGAUCCGUAGCUGGUCUGAGAGGAUGAUCAGCCACACUGGAACUGAGACACGGUCCAGACUCCUACGGGAGGCAGCAGUGGGGAAUAUUGGACAAUGGGCGCAAGCCUGAUCCAGCCAUACCGCGUGGGUGAUGAAGGCCUUCGGGUUGUAAAGCCCUUUUGUUGGGAAAGAAAAGCAGCAGGUUAAUACCCCGCUGUUCUGACGGUACCCAAAGAAUAAGCACCGGCUAACUUCGUG